UACAGAGGGGGCAAGCGUUAUUCGGAAUUAUUGGGCGUAAAGGGCGCGUAGGCGGCCAGGCAAGUGGAAGGUGAAAUCCCUCGGCUUAACCAAGGAACUGCCCUCCAAACUGCUUGGCUUGAGACCGGGAGAGGUGAGUGGAAUUCCCAGUGUAGCGGUGAAAUGCGUAGAUAUCAUUUGGAACGCCAAUGGUGAAAACAGCUCGCUGGGAAUGAUCUGACGCUGAGACGCGAAAGCCAGGGGAGCGAACGGG
RNAcentral lists this ribosomal RNA (253 nucleotides) under uncultured bacterium. RNAcentral's name for it is "partial 16S ribosomal RNA". It matches the Rfam family "Bacterial small subunit ribosomal RNA", at positions 524 to 776 of the family's 1533-position model. The record is from RNAcentral.